RNAcentral lists this ribosomal RNA (558 nucleotides) under Cystobasidium sp. RNAcentral's name for it is "eukaryotic LSU rRNA". The stretch from base 155 to 308 matches the Rfam family "5.8S ribosomal RNA". Lineage: Eukaryota; Fungi; Basidiomycota; Cystobasidiomycetes; Cystobasidiales; Cystobasidiaceae. The record is from RNAcentral.
UGCGGAAGGAUCAUUAAUGAAUUUUAGGACGUUCUUUUUAGAAGUCCGACCCUUUCAUUUUCUUACACUGUGCACACACUUCUUUUUUACACACACUUUUAACACCUUAGUAUAAGAAUGUAAUAGUCUCUUAAUUGAGCAUAAAUAAAAACAAAACUUUCAGCAACGGAUCUCUUGGCUCUCGCAUCGAUGAAGAACGCAGCGAAUUGCGAUAAGUAAUGUGAAUUGCAGAAUUCAGUGAAUCAUCGAAUCUUUGAACGCACCUUGCACUCUUUGGUAUUCCGAAGAGUAUGUCUGUUUGAGUGUCAUGAAACUCUCAACCCCCCUAUUUUGUAAUGAGAUGGGUGUGGGCUUGGAUUAUGGUUGUCUGUCGGCGUAAUUGCCGGCUCAACUGAAAUACACGAGCAACCCUAUUGAAAUAAACGGUUUGACUUGGCGUAAUAAUUAUUUCGCUAAGGACGUUUUCUUCAAAUAUAAGAGGUGCUUCUAAUUCGCUUCUAAUAGCAUUUAAGCUUUAGACCUCAAAUCAGUCAGGACUACCCGCUGAACUUAAGCAUA